GGGGAGCGAACAGGAUUAGAUGCCCCUGGUAGUCCACACCGUGAAACGUGGGAUGCUGGAUGUGGGGCACCCGUUCCAAGGGGUUCCGUGUCGGAGCUAACGCGUUAAGCAUCCCCACCUGGGGAGUUCGACCGCAAGGCUAAAACUCAAAGAAAUUGACGGGGACCCGCACAAGCGGCGGAGCAUGCGGAUUAAUUCGAUGCAACGCGAAGAACCUUACCUGGGCUUGACAUGUUCCCGACGGUCGUAGAGAUACGGCUUCCCUUCGGGGCGGGUUCACAGGUGGUGCAUGGUCGUCGUCAGCUCGUGUCGUGAGAUGUUGGGUUAAGUCCCGCAACGAGCGCAACCCUCGCCCCGUGUUGCCAGCGGAUUAUGCCGGGAACUCACGGGGGACCACCGGGGUUAACUCGGAGGAAGGUGGGGAUGACGUCAGAUCAUCAUGCCCCUUACGUCCAGGGCUUCACGCAUGCUACAAUGGCCGGUACAACGGGAUGCGACGCGGCGACGCGGAGCGGAUCCCUGAAAAACCGGUCUCAGUUCGGAUCGCAGUCUGCAACUCGACUGCGUGAAGGCGGAGUCGCUAGUAAUCGCGAAUCAGCAACGUCCGGUGAAUGCGUUCCCGGACCUUG
Molecule: ribosomal RNA, 629 nt
Filed under: bacterium Bm29
Lineage: Bacteria
Description: bacterial SSU rRNA
Rfam family: Bacterial small subunit ribosomal RNA
Source: RNAcentral